This 465-nucleotide ribosomal RNA is filed under the name uncultured eukaryote. RNAcentral describes it as "eukaryotic LSU rRNA". It matches the Rfam family "Eukaryotic large subunit ribosomal RNA", at positions 799 to 1255 of the family's 3401-position model. The record is from RNAcentral.
AGCAUUUAUGUUAGGACCCGAAAGAUGGUGAACUAUGCCUGAGUAGGGCAAAGUCAGAGGAAACUCUGAUGGAGGCUCGAAGGGGUUCUGACGUGCAAAUCGAUCUUCAAACUUGGGUAUAGGGGCGAAAGACUAAUCGAACCAUCAAGUAGCUGGUUCCCUCCGAAGUUUCCCUCAGGAUAGCUGGAACUUAUGAAGAAGUAGUUUUAUCAGGUAAAGCGAAUGAUUAGAGGCUUUGGGGAAGAAACUUCCUCGACCUAUUCUCAAACUUUAAAUAGGUAAGAUUUGAAGGAUACUUAAGUGAUCUUUCAAUACAUUGAAUAUCAAGUUCUUAGUGGGUCCAUUUUUGGUUAAGCAGAACUGGCGAUGUGGGAUGAACCGAACGUUAAGUUAAAGUGCCAAAUAGUACGCUCAUGAGAUACCAUAAAAGGUGUUGGUUCAUUUUGACAGCAGGACGGUGGCCAU